This is a long non-coding RNA of Nanorana parkeri, 155 nucleotides long. RefSeq lists it as uncharacterized. The transcript has 3 exons. NCBI's taxonomy places the organism in Eukaryota, Metazoa, Chordata, Amphibia, Anura, Dicroglossidae. The record is from RefSeq and is a predicted model, not a curated record.
AUGACCCGGGAAUGAGGCACGAUGCAGGUCGGGUAUGUACAAUGUCUUUAAUCCCCUGCUUGUUUGCUUUGCUCAUGCUGCUAAUAUCCACAAAUUGAAAUAAAAGGGGAGGGGGGGAGCAGGUGAGCGCCUCAGGGGGGGCGAGGUAACAGAGG